UGGCUCAGAACGAACGCUGGCGGCAGGCNAACACAUGCAAGUCGAGCGCUCUCUUCGGAGGGAGCGGCGGACGGGUGAGUAACGCGUGGGAAUAUGCCCUUCUCUACGGAAUAGCCACUGGAAACGGUGAGUAAUACCGUAUACGCCCUUCGGGGGAAAGAUUUAUCGGAGAAGGAUUAGCCCGCGUUAGAUUAGAUAGUUGGUGGGGUAACGGCCUACCAAGUCUACGAUCUAUAGCUGGUUUUAGAGGACGAUCAGCCACACUGGGACUGGGACACGGCCCAGACUCCUACGGGAGGCAGCAGUGGGGAAUCUUAGACAAUGGGCGAAAGCCUGAUCUAGCCAUGCCGCGUGAGUGAUGAAGGCCCUAGGGUCGUAAAGCUCUUUCGCCAGGGAUGAUAAUGACAGUACCUGGUAAAGAAACCCCGGCUAACUCCGUGCCAGCAGCCGCGGUAAUACGGAGGGGGUUAGCGUUGUUCGGAAUUACUGGGCGUAAAGCGCACGUAGGCGGACUGGAAAGUUGGGGGUGAAAUCCCGGGGCUCAACCCCGGAACUGCCUCCAAAACUAUCAGUCUAGAGUUCGAGAGAGGUGAGUGGAAUUCCAAGUGUAGAGGUGAAAUUCGUAGAUAUUUGGAGGAACACCAGUGGCGAAGGCGGCUCACUGGCUCGAUACUGACGCUGAGGUGCGAAAGUGUGGGGAGCAAACAGGAUUAGAUACCCUGGUAGUCCACACCGUAAACGAUGAAUGCCAGUCGUCGGGCAGUAUACUGUUCGGUGACACACCUAACGGAUUAAGCAUUCCGCCUGGGGAGUACGGUCGCAAGAUUAAAACUCAAA
RNAcentral lists this ribosomal RNA (837 nucleotides) under uncultured marine bacterium. RNAcentral's name for it is "bacterial SSU rRNA". It matches the Rfam family "Bacterial small subunit ribosomal RNA", at positions 20 to 905 of the family's 1533-position model. The record is from RNAcentral.